AAUAUACGACAAGGGGCGAAAGCCUGAUCCAGCCAUGCCGGUUGUCCAUAGAAAGUCUUCGGCUUGUAAAGCACUUUAAGUUGGGAGGAAGCGCAGUAAGUUAAUACCUUGCUGUUGUAACGUUGCCGACAGCAUAAGCACCGGCUAACUUCGUGCCAGCAGCCGCGGUAAUACGAAGGGUGCAAGCGUUAAUCGGAAUUAUUGGGCGUAAGGCGCGAGUAGGUGGUUUGUUUAGUUGGAAGUGGAAGCCCCGGGCUCAACCUGGGAACUGCUUUAAAAACUGGCAAGGUAAAGUAUGGCAGCGAGUGGUGGAAUUUCCUGUGUAGCUGUGAAAUGCGUAGAUAUAGGAAGGAAAACCAAUAGCGAAGGCGACCACCUGGGCUUAUACUGACACUGAGGUGCGAAAGCGUGGGGAGCAAACA
This 422-nucleotide ribosomal RNA is filed under the name uncultured bacterium. RNAcentral describes it as "partial 16S ribosomal RNA". It matches the Rfam family "Bacterial small subunit ribosomal RNA", at positions 360 to 774 of the family's 1533-position model. The record is from RNAcentral.